UUCACGAAAAGUUUUGGAGAA
Molecule: non-coding RNA, 21 nt
Filed under: Caenorhabditis elegans
Lineage: Eukaryota; Metazoa; Nematoda; Chromadorea; Rhabditida; Rhabditidae
Source: RNAcentral